RNAcentral lists this long non-coding RNA (2198 nucleotides) under Nicotiana benthamiana. RNAcentral's name for it is "long non-coding RNA (NBEN_LNC014041)". Lineage: Eukaryota; Viridiplantae; Streptophyta; Magnoliopsida; Solanales; Solanaceae. The record is from RNAcentral.
UUGUCCAAAAAUUAGUUAGAAAAAGAUGUCAUUUCCCUGAAACUUAGAAGCUGACAUAUUCCCUUCUAGAACCUCCCUCAUCUCUAUCUUAAUACACUCUACAUAAUAGAGGAAUUCCCUGUAGAAAAGGACUGGAUUAACACACACGAAAAACUCUCUGAAAAUUCCUCCUUUCAUCCUCUCAAUGAUUUUUACACUAAUUUCUAAAAAUCCAAUCCUUGAAAAUUUGUGGAAAACCAACUUUGGAAUUUCAGAAAGUAAACAAAACAACUAAAUGUAUUCAGUAGCUUGCUUCAUUAUCGGAUAGCUGGAAUUCAUGGUUUCUGGGUUUAAAGUUUGGUUGAGCUUCAUUUUCUACUGUUUGCUACUGUUUUAUCAAGAUGUAGCUGAAUCUCAUUUCUACCUGUGCUUCUCAAGUUUAGAGGCCUAUUUUCUGACCGUUAUUUGAUGUUCAUUUUUGUUGUGUGUUGUUAGGUAUGUAUACUUCCAUCUGUAAUCUUUCAUUUUGAAUCUGAGAAUGAUAAUUGAGUUGCCUAUGCUCUGUUUGUAUUCAUUCCUAUAUAUCCAAACAUGAUUUGUUACAAAUCUACUUAGCUUGCCAUUUGAUUGACUUUUGUAUUUGUUGGUCUACUACUAUUAGUGAUUUACACUUUUAAAUAAUAAUUCCUACUUAAAUGUGGUCAUUAAUAAUAAUUGAUUUGAUCCCAAUAUGAUGUUUUUCUUUUGAAUUGUUAAAAUAGCCAAAUGUUUUUACAAGAGUAACCCAGUUAGAUGUGUGUUUGUAAAUUUAGAAGCUGUUUGGAGAAAAGAGAACCACACGGGAGCAGACUCUAUCAUGGAAGCUCAUAGCUAGGUAUGUUCAUAAAAAUUCGAAAAAUCGAAUUAAACCGUACCGAUUUAAAAAAUCGAUAUAUUUUUUGGUUUGGUUUGGUUUUUAUUUUGAAUUUUAAAAACAAAUCAAAUUUGAUUUGGUUUUAGUUAUAAUAAAAAAAUAACCGAAAAAUCGAACCAAACCGACUAUAGGAGUAGUUAUUUCAAAUUUAUUAUUACACAUAUAUAUAUACACACACAAAGUUUAAAAGAAAAUUAUGGUGAAUGUUAAUCAUUUGCAUUUUUAGUAUAGUUCUUUAUUUUUAUAUUCUAAUUUGAUUGGUAGUUUUCUUUUGUUAAGUGUAAGAAUUCAUUUCAUGUAAAAAAAUAUAUUUUUAAUUUAUACCUUAAAUUAUUCAUCACUAUUUGAUUCAAUUAUCAUCAAUAUAUUUUAGUAAAUAAUAUAUUUCUCAAAGGAAAAUUAAUUUGAUAGUGUUACGUUGAAAAUAUGGUCGCCGGAAUAUGUUUUUGGUAGUGCAUGUCUUAUAUUUAAGAAAAAACUGACAAAUAAUCGAAAAAAAUAAAAAUUCGGCAUAAAACGAAUCGAGAAAAAACUGACUUAAUUGGUUUGAUUUGGUUCUACUAUUUGAAAAACUAACUUAUUUGGUUUGGUUUCUUUUUAGGAAAAAACCGAUUCAAACCCCCUACUAUAGAAGCCUAGAUGUAACUUUAUGUUAAUGAGUAUGUAAUUUAUGUUGUAAUUAGUGAAUUGUAUGAUUUAAAUUAGAGAAUUUUUUAUAAAGCAUUAUUUUUUUAAUGGUAAUUAGUUAUCCAUAGAUACCAUUUGCUAUAUUAUGGAUUAUAGAUACGUUUUCUCUUGUUAUAAGAUAUAUUAGAUGUAUUUAAGCUAUUGUAUUCAUGAAUACAAUAGCAAAAAUAGGCGUGAAUCGGGGAAGUCAAGCUAAUAAGUUAUUGUAUUCGAGUGUAUUUGAUUGUAUUCAUGGAGUGAAACAAGGGUUCACAACUCGACAGAUUUUUGUAUUUGAGUGUAUUCAAUUUUAUUCAUGGCGUGAAAUACGAGAUUACAGCCGUACAAAUUAUUGUAUUUGACUGUAUUUACGGCGUGAAAUAGGUAAUUCAACGUCGGAUUCUUAAUGAAGGAUGAAGACAGAGAUGGAGGAGAAGAGUGGCAGUGAGGAAAGCAACAGGAGAAGCAAAAGGAGCCCUUCAACUUUUGCUUCAGAGAUGGAGCUGAAUUAGGUAUAGAAGAUGAUUUUCGUUCAUUGGAGUUUGAGAUUUUGGAUUAAAAAAUGGAGGAGAAAUUGAGGGGUUUUACACAUAGAGAAAUAGGAAACGACGAAUAUUCUAAUAUAUGAGAGAGAAAAAUA